UACGUAGGUGGCAAGCGUUGUCCGGAUUUACUGGGCGUAAAGAGCACGCAGGCGGUUGGAUAAGUCGAAUGUGAAAGCCCCCGGCUUAACUGGGGAGGGUCAUUCGAUACUGUUCAACUUGAAGGCAGGAGAGGGCAGCAGAAUUCCCGGUGUAGUGGUGAAAUGCGUAGAUAUCGGGAGGAAUACCAGUGGCGGAGGCGGCUGCCUGGCCUGUUCUUGACGCUGAGGCGCGAAAGCUGGGGGAGCGAACGGG
This 253-nucleotide ribosomal RNA is filed under the name uncultured bacterium. Its description in RNAcentral is "partial 16S ribosomal RNA". It matches the Rfam family "Bacterial small subunit ribosomal RNA", at positions 524 to 776 of the family's 1533-position model. The record is from RNAcentral.